GUUUAGAUAGCUCAGGGGUAGAGCAAAGGACUGAAAAUCCUUGGGUCAGUGGUUCGAACCCACUUCUAAGCA
RNAcentral lists this transfer RNA (72 nucleotides) under Plantago ovata (blond plantain). Its description in RNAcentral is "tRNA-Phe". It matches the Rfam family "tRNA". Rfam says of the family: Transfer RNA (tRNA) molecules are approximately 80 nucleotides in length. Lineage: Eukaryota; Viridiplantae; Streptophyta; Magnoliopsida; Lamiales; Plantaginaceae. The record is from RNAcentral.